Trichosurus vulpecula (common brushtail) is the source of this 552-nucleotide long non-coding RNA. RefSeq lists it as uncharacterized. The transcript has 3 exons. The record is from RefSeq and is a predicted model, not a curated record. Lineage: Eukaryota; Metazoa; Chordata; Mammalia; Diprotodontia; Phalangeridae.
GGUUAAAAACAAAGGCUAAGGUUCCAGGAAAUGGAUCAAGGACAGAAAACCAAAGAACUCUUGUCUGGAUAAGAACAUUGCCUCCCCUUCACUCUGAUGUAAUUGACACUAUGAAGAACUUAAGCUGCCACCUUAUUCUAUUGUCUUUUCUCCCAAGCUGAGCUUCCAAGGUCCUGAGCUGGUCCUCUUGUUGGCCUGUGGUACUAAAUGUGAAGAUAAGUCUGAGAAUGAAGGGGCACCCCAUGAUCAAGACAUGUGUCCUGACUCCAUCUCCUGGUAUAAAUAAGGAAGACAUGGAGUUUCAUGUCACGUGGAGGAGUAUCCUGAUUCAGGACUGUGGCAUGCAAUCAUCUAGCUCACUUUUCUGUCCACCCGCCUGAUAGGUUUAUAUAUUUGUGAUGUUUCCCUACCUUUUUUUCUUCAUAUAAAAUGAUUUGCCACAAAUUGGGAGAAGAACUUGAAAUGUGGAAGAACUAUUAGACCCAUUUCAUUGGACUUCAGAAGGUCAAAGCAAGAUCAAUCGGAAUUAGCAAAGAAGUAAAUUUAGGCUUA